Molecule: ribosomal RNA, 129 nt
Filed under: Staphylococcus capitis
Lineage: Bacteria; Bacillati; Bacillota; Bacilli; Caryophanales; Staphylococcaceae
Description: partial 16S ribosomal RNA
Rfam family: Bacterial small subunit ribosomal RNA
Source: RNAcentral
GAGAGUUUGUAACACCCGAAGCCGUGGAGUAACCUUUUGGAGCUAGCCGUCGAAGGUGGGACAAAUGAUUGGGGUGAAGUCGUAACAAGGUAGCCGUAUCGGAAGGUGCGGCUGGAUCACCUCCUUUCU